UACGGAAGGCAGCAGUGGGGAAUAUUGCACAAUGGGCGAAAGCCUGAUGCAGCUAUGCCGCGUGUAUGAAGAAGGCCUUAGGGUUGUAAAGUACUUUCAUCGGGGAGGAAAAACAAAACUAAUAAUUUUAUUUCUUGACGUUACCCGAAAAAGAAGCACCGGCUAACUCCGUGCCAGCAGCCGCGGUAAUACGGAGGGUGCUAGCGUUAAUCAGAAUUACUGGGCGUAAAGAGCACGUAGGUGGUUUUUUUAAGUCAGAUGUGAAAUCCCUGGGCUUAACCUAGGAACUGCAUUUUGAAACUGAAAUACUAGAGUAUCGUAGAGGGAGGUAGAAUUCUAGGUGUAGCGGUGAAAUGCGUAGAUAUCUGGAGGAAUACCUGUGGCGAAAGCGGCCUCCUAAACGAAUACUGACACUGAGGUGCGAAAGCGUGGGGAGCGAAAC
Molecule: ribosomal RNA, 442 nt
Filed under: uncultured bacterium
Lineage: Bacteria
Description: bacterial SSU rRNA
Rfam family: Bacterial small subunit ribosomal RNA
Source: RNAcentral